GAAGAAGAUAGAAAUAGGAUAUUUGCCAAAAUAUGCUAGCAGACAUGUGGUAUUGCCAUUGAAACCUCCAUCUUCCUUAAUUGAUUUACUGGGUCUGAAACUGAAACAAACACCAUCUUUGGAAAGCUGUUUCAGCUCGCAGCUCAAAUGUGGCGCCAAAAUAUACUCCGUCACAAUCACGACUCAGAUCAAAGCAUUUCCGAUGACGACGUAGAUGAGCCAGACGACGCUUGUCCAAACGACGUCGUUUCGGUAAAAACCUUAAAAGCCUCUGCCGCUGCCUCCAGCAAGGAAGAACUGCCUCUUCCAGUGCGGUUGGAUUUUCUAAAAGUUGUCACAGGAAUCUCGAAUCAAAAUUUGGCUGGGACAAGCAGCAGUUUGUCAAUUAAGGAACCAACAGAUACACCUCCUGAAGAUGAGGUUGAGAUGCCCGAAUUCAACGAGGGUGACAGCAAUAGCAUAUUGGGGGAGGUAGCUGCCAAUUCAAGUGACGAAGAAGUAAUUCAGGAUGAGGGUAACACUGUCCUGUCGAUUAGAGAGCUUCGCAAGUAUGGUCCUCAAUUCGUCAGAUACAAACAAGUUCGAGUUUCUAAUGAAAGAUCUGAAGCAGUAUUACCUUCCAAAGAAAGUUCUUCAUGCUCAGAAUUACACGCUUCCACCUCCAGAGCAGACCGAUGUGUUGUUUGGAGGAAAGCUAAGUUAAGAAUUUCAAUGUCAUCAUUGUCACACAAAUGUGGGAAUUUUGGUCCUUCAAUGUCUGAUAGAUUGCCUGAAAAGAAAGCUGAUGGACCUUGGGCUUCUGCAACCUUGGACAGUAAUCAUACAGAAGAUAAUAAUGGUGUGGAAUUAAGUUCAGAUACUGAGCCGGCUGAAGCAGAAGCCAUUGCACCAGGACCUAAUCUACCUUCAAUGGCUGAUCUAUUUGAAAAUCUCCAAGACAAAACACAUCUAGCCUUUCCUGUCUCUACGUUUCAGUAUUUUCCACAUGGUCAAACCAGAGGAAAAACAGGGCACACUGUUCAGAAGAGUAGAUCCGACCUGCCGGAUAUGAUUGCUGACAGUGAAGACUCCCCUGAUCUCGUGGAUAGUGGAUCAUCAAGUGACAAUGAGGAGAGCGAUCAACAUAUGAGGAUUACUUUCUGUGGAAAGAAAACGCAGACCAUGGCAGAUCGAUUUCAGGAAGCUUUGGGGGCUUCAUCUGUUAUUGCUGAAGGGACUCAUGUUGGUGUACAUAAUUCAUUGAGCACAGAGCUGGAAUAUUUGGAAAGGUGCAGCAGGUCAUGCAGACAGAGAAAGAAAGAGAUUUGGACUUUUGGAAAAAGCUACAAUCUGGAGCUAGACCAGAUAGUAAAACUUUUGCUUUUUCUCUGUCUGCCUUUUUCAUUCUUGUCUAAGUGAACUUGGCUGCUUUGAUGUGAAAAUCAUUUCAAGAUACUUGGAUGGAAAGCUGACUGUUUGUCAUUGUUCAUUUGGCAAGUUCAGAGAGCAUUUUCCAUCAACAAAUAACGGAGAAAGCACCAUCAUCUUUAGUCCAAGGGUUUGUGACAAUGUUGACCUUGAAGUUGGGAACUUGAUCCGUAUUCAUCCGCCAUGGUAGUAUUUGGUUGGAUUUGAUGGAGCUUCCGCAGAAAAAGAGAAGAAGGCUAUAUAGGGCAGAAAUGCUUAGAGGAUAGAGAGGAAGCUUGCACAAAUGGAAUCAGCACAAGAAUUAAAGGAGAUGACAGCGAGGAGCGACGCUUUCGCGUACCUGACGCGUACGCGUGACACGCGAAGAAGACGCGUACACGUGACAUGCACCACGUGCAGAAAACGCAGAAAACGCUAAUUGAUUCAAUUGUUAAUUCAGAUUUAAACUUUAAUUUUAAAAUAGGAAAAGAUAUUAUAUUUAGUUUUAAAAAAUAGAUUUUAAAUUAAUUAGGAUUAGAUAUAAAAGAAAAGAGGAACUUCCCUUCAGGGGAUUAUUCCAUUCCAA
This is a non-coding RNA of Arachis ipaensis, 1972 nucleotides long. The record is from RefSeq and is a predicted model, not a curated record. NCBI's taxonomy places the organism in Eukaryota, Viridiplantae, Streptophyta, Magnoliopsida, Fabales, Fabaceae.